Molecule: ribosomal RNA, 509 nt
Filed under: Chaetomium globosum
Lineage: Eukaryota; Fungi; Ascomycota; Sordariomycetes; Sordariales; Chaetomiaceae
Description: eukaryotic LSU rRNA
Rfam family: Eukaryotic large subunit ribosomal RNA
Source: RNAcentral
UAGUAACGGCGAGUGAAGCGGCAACAGCUCAAAUUUGAAAUCUGGCUUCGGCCCGAGUUGUAAUUUGCAGAGGAAGCUUUAGGCGCGGCACCUUCUGAGUCCCCUGGAACGGGGCGCCAUAGAGGGUGAGAGCCCCGUAUAGUUGGAUGCCUAGCCUGUGUAAAGCUCCUUCGACGAGUCGAGUAGUUUGGGAAUGCUGCUCAAAAUGGGAGGUAAAUUUCUUCUAAAGCUAAAUACCGGCCAGAGACCGAUAGCGCACAAGUAGAGUGAUCGAAAGAUGAAAAGCACUUUGAAAAGAGGGUUAAAUAGCACGUGAAAUUGUUGAAAGGGAAGCGCUUGUGACCAGACUUGCGCCGGGCGGAUCAUCCGGUGUUCUCACCGGUGCACUCCGCCCGGCUCAGGCCAGCAUCGGUUCUCGCGGGGGGAUAAAGGUCCUGGGAACGUAGCUCCUCCGGGAGUGUUAUAGCCCGGGGCGUAAUGCCCUCGCGGGGACCGAGGUUCGCGCAUCU